AAAACAAGAGUCAUUCAGACUAGCCAAGGUGAUUGCCUAUAGAACCACAUACAGAUUUCUUUUACAUAAGAGUAAUAGAAACCUCUUGGAGGAUGUAGGCAAGUCAUCCUUGGCUAUCAGACAAAGACUCUUAUCU
RNAcentral lists this microRNA precursor (136 nucleotides) under Thalictrum thalictroides. Lineage: Eukaryota; Viridiplantae; Streptophyta; Magnoliopsida; Ranunculales; Ranunculaceae. The record is from RNAcentral.